Molecule: ribosomal RNA, 425 nt
Filed under: uncultured bacterium
Lineage: Bacteria
Description: partial 16S ribosomal RNA
Rfam family: Bacterial small subunit ribosomal RNA
Source: RNAcentral
GUGGGGAAUCUUAGACAAUGGGCGCAAGCCUGAUCUAGCCAUGCCGCGUGAGCGAUGAAGGCCUUAGGGUUGUAAAGCUCUUUCAGCUGGGAAGAUAAUGACGGUACCAGCAGAAGAAGCCCCGGCUAACUCCGUGCCAGCAGCCGCGGUAAUACGGAGGGGGCUAGCGUUGUUCGGAAUUACUGGGCGUAAAGCGCACGUAGGCGGAUCAGAAAGUCAGAGGUGAAAUCCCAGGGCUCAACCUUGGAACUGCCUUUGAAACUCCUGAUCUUGAGGUCGAGAGAGGUGAGUGGAAUUCCGAGUGUAGAGGUGAAAUUCGUAGAUAUUCGGAGGAACACCAGUGGCGAAGGCGGCUUACUGGUCCAUUACUGACGCUGAGGUGCGAAAGCGUGGGGAGCAAACAGGAUUAGAAACCCCUGUAGUCC